AGAGUUUGAUCCUGGCUCAGAUUGAACGCUGGCGGCAUGCCUAACACAUGCAAGUCGAACGGCAGCACAGAGGAGCUUGCUCCUUGGGUGGCGAGUGGCGGACGGGUGAGUAAUGCAUCGGGACCUACCCAGGCGUGGGGGAUAACCUCGGGAAACCGGGACUAAUACCGCAUACGUCCUACGGGAGAAAGCGGGGGACCUUCGGGCCUCGCGCGGUUGGACGGACCGAUGUGCGAUUAGCUAGUUGGUAGGGUAAUGGCCUACCAAGGCGACGAUCGCUAGCUGGUCUGAGAGGAUGAUCAGCCACACUGGGACUGAGACACGGCCCAGACUCCUACGGGAGGCAGCAGUGGGGAAUAUUGGACAAUGGGCGAAAGCCUGAUCCAGCAAUGCCGCGUGUGUGAAGAAGGCCCUCGGGUUGUAAAGCACUUUUAUCAGGAACGAAAUACCACGGGUUAAUAACCCAUGGGGCUGACGGUACCUGAGGAAUAAGCACCGGCUAACUUCGUGCCAGCAGCCGCGGUAAUAC
RNAcentral lists this ribosomal RNA (529 nucleotides) under uncultured bacterium. RNAcentral describes it as "bacterial SSU rRNA". It matches the Rfam family "Bacterial small subunit ribosomal RNA", at positions 8 to 526 of the family's 1533-position model. The record is from RNAcentral.